This 113-nucleotide transfer RNA is filed under the name Mytilinidion resinicola. It matches the Rfam family "tRNA". From Rfam's summary of the family: Transfer RNA (tRNA) molecules are approximately 80 nucleotides in length. Their secondary structure includes four short double-helical elements and three loops (D, anti-codon, and T loops). Further hydrogen bonds mediate the characteristic L-shaped molecular structure. tRNAs have two regions of fundamental functional importance: the anti-codon, which is responsible for specific mRNA codon recognition, and the 3' end, to which the tRNAs corresponding amino acid is attached (by aminoacyl-tRNA synthetases). tRNAs cope with the degeneracy of the genetic code in two manners: having more than one tRNA (with a specific anti-codon) for a particular amino acid; and 'wobble' base-pairing, i.e. permitting non-standard base-pairing at the 3rd anti-codon position. Lineage: Eukaryota; Fungi; Ascomycota; Dothideomycetes; Mytilinidiales; Mytilinidiaceae. The record is from Rfam by way of RNAcentral.
GGCAUUAUGGCCGAGUGGUCUAAGGCGGUAGUUUCAAGUCACGUUGCAAUGUGCAAACACAAUGCUGAACACUACUGGGGUAACCCGCGUGAGUUCGAAUCUCACUGAUGUCA